GAAUAUUGGACAAUGGGCGCAAGCCUGAUCCAGCCAUGCCGCGUGUGUGAAGAAGGCCUUCGGGUUGUAAAGCACUUUUGUACGGGAAGAAACGCGAUCGGAUAAUACCUGGUCGAACUGACGGUACCGUAAGAAUAAGCACCGGCGAACUUCGUGCCAGCAGCCGCGGUAAUACGAAGGGUGCAAGCGUUACUCGGAAUUACUGGGCGUAAAGCGUGCGUAGGUGGUUUGUUAAGUCUGAUGUGAAAGCCCUGGGCUCAACCUGGGAACUGCAUUGGAUACUGGCUUACUAGAGUGCGGUAGAGGGUAGCGGAAUUCCCGGUGUAGCAGUGAAAUGCGUAGAUAUCGGGAGGAACAUCCGUGGCGAAGGCGGCUACCUGGACCAGCACUGGCACUGAGGCACGAAAGCGUGGGGAGCAAAC
RNAcentral lists this ribosomal RNA (422 nucleotides) under uncultured bacterium. RNAcentral's name for it is "bacterial SSU rRNA". It matches the Rfam family "Bacterial small subunit ribosomal RNA", at positions 359 to 773 of the family's 1533-position model. The record is from RNAcentral.